UUAAAAGUAUUUGGAAACUAAAUUUCAUAAUUUUUCGACAUCAUUUGGCUAGUGAUCAAAAGGUUCCAAAAUUAACAAUUUUAAUGGUAGAUAUGAUGCGUUUUUAAGUUCAACGGUGUAGAAGUAUCCAAAUUAGAUGAAAAUUUAAUAGAAAAUUCUACUUAACAUCAAUAGCAAGACCAAUACUUCCGAUUUGAAAUGUGAGUCCUUUAUCACUGUUUUUUAUGAGAUUUUCAUUUUCAGACAUUUAUUUUGAGGCUACUCGUUUACUAGACUAACGAAGUCAAAAAAUUAUAAAAUUUGGUUUCUAGGUAGUUCCAACAGUGUAGAUCAUGUCUAAUAGAACAGAUCACCGAAUCAGAUGUCCCACUAUUGAAAACAACUUAUAAGUACGGAGGCUCCCGUACUUUCGAAAGCGAGCCUAGCGCGCGCUCUCUCUCUCUCUCUCUCUCUCUCUCUCUAUAUAUAUAUAUAUAUAUAUAUAUAUAUAUAUAUAUAAAUACUGAAAUUGAUAAAAUUGUACAAAACUUAUGAGUUUGAUUUUACUAUUCAGUCUUUUAAUUUAUUUAAUUUGAGUUACGAAAUGACAUCUUGACUUCAAAAUUUAAAUCAUUAUUCAUUUUAGUAAAUUUAUAGUCACAAAAAUUACAUAAAAUAUACAAACUAAAUAUAUAAAAAUAAACAGACAUAUUUAGAUUUUAAAAUCAAAAUAUCGUUGAUUGAUUGAAAUCAAACAAAUCGAAAGAAUAAAAUUGCAAAAAUCAAAAUUUUAAAAGAUAAAAUAGCUAAAUUAAAAUGGUCUAUAAUUUUGAUAAGAUUUAUACAUUUCCACCUACUAAAAUUUACUUGUCUAGCAU
This 857-nucleotide long non-coding RNA is filed under the name Ananas comosus (pineapple). RNAcentral describes it as "long non-coding RNA (ACOM_LNC002204)". The record is from RNAcentral. Lineage: Eukaryota; Viridiplantae; Streptophyta; Magnoliopsida; Poales; Bromeliaceae.